GACCCGCUGAGGCAAAGCGGAGCCGCAGUGACAGAAGCGAGGAGCUGCCGCCCGGAGGGACUCACCGAGGCGCAGGGGCUGGAGGUGGUGCUGGGGGUGGGGCGCGCAGCCUAAGCAACCGUAGAGAAAAACGGAGGUGAAAAAUUCCCGAGGCCGACACGUUUUCUGGUGGCCCAGAGCUCCGCGGGUGUCAGACGCUUUCUCUGAGCUAGACCUCGGAGACCAGCCCACCCGCUUGGACCUGGCCCUCCAGAGGGCUCUUGGUGAGCUUUUCCCACCCUCCUCAUCAUAAAGGGCCUCGCGGUUCAAUGACGAGACUUUGCCUAAGAAAGAUUUCCCCGGGGGAAACGCUGGAAACUUCGUGGUACCCUCAUGCUUCCUCUACUACCUGCCUAAAGCCAGUCACUGUACCAGAGAAGAGGUGCUGAGCGGACCUGGGGGCACAGAGAGCUGGACCCUGAGUUGGAAAGCUCCAAGCUGCGCUAUACCUCCCAUUUGCUCCCUGCUGUGAAGAUCUCCACUAACAAGGAUUUGCUCCUUUGAGCUUUCUUCCUUCCCCCUAAAUUCCAUUUUUUCAGAGAUGUGAAAAUGUAGAUUUAAAAUAUUUUAAAGGAAUACACUUCUAAAUGAUAAGCUGUUGGUAUCAAGAAUGUAAUGGAAGAAUCAAGAUUGAAAAGAAAGGAAAAAAAAAGCCACACAGUGCAAACCGUUGAUAUUGACACAGAGACCGUUGAGUGGAUGAGCUGGUAAAUGCCACCGUCCAUCUCAAAGCUGUAGAAAACACACACUUAGGACUCGGCAGCUUCUAAAGCCCACCUCUUUCUGUUUGUCACUCAAACACUCUUGGAUCUCAUUGCUCCUUUUAAACUGACGGGGCUGUCGUGAGCUCUUUCUGGUUACUGUGUGGUUAAGUGACACAAGAGCCCUCUUUGCUGGGUCUUUGUUCUCUCCCUGGGGCCCUGUGGUUGAAAUAAUUAGCAGGGAGGUUCCAUCAAGAAUCACCGAGGGUCCCUGUACUGUACAGUCCUCUGUCGAGUGUACUGCAGAGAAACCAGCUGUUAGGCUUUUGCCCCCUGGUGGUGAUCAAGAGUGCCUAAGAGACAAACAUGAAAGAUCUAUGGUUCACAAACAAUGUUUUCCCCAGAGCUCCCCAGCAAACAGGAAAGAAAAGGCAAGGUUCAGAAAUAAGAACUUUGAACCAAUACUUUAGAGACCAAACAUAAAACUAUGUAAAGAACCAAGAACUCUACAUAGCUGAAAGAUGAAUGACCUCCAAUGAAUGUGUUUAUAAUCCAAAGGAGUAUCAAUAAUUCUCAGUGGUUCAUUCCCUUACUUACACGUGGUUGAAAACUUGGACUAUCUUCUUCUACGUAGUAAGAUACUCUAAAGAAAUUCAUCUUCAAGAGGAGAGGUUUGAUUCCAUUAACCUUACAGUGAGAAAGCACACUGCUGUGAGUCAGACCUUGCUUCUAGUUCCAGCUGUGUAAAACCUUAUGCAAAUGAUGUGAACAUUUUGAGCUGUAGUUCCUUAUUCUCUGUGAUGAAACUCAAGCUCACAGGGACUUUCAUAAUCAAAUGAGAUAAUGUAUGUAAAUUAAAAGGUCCUACAUGCAAUUAAGAUAAGUCUCUAUUCUCUGUAGUGUGUUGUGUUCUGAGUUCAGAGAGGCCUUGUUGAGUGUAUCCUAUAUGCAGGAAAUACCUUCAAGCAAAAGAAAAAUAUUAAAAGAUAUGAUUCAUGCUUUAUCUAAACUGUAGGUUAGUGGUCAAGAUACAUAUCUGUGGGUAAGUGUAGAACAUUUUUGUUUGGCAUAUCUAAGGUGAUGAAAUUGAGUUAUAUAAUAUUCAAAUUUGCACUGUUUAUAUCAGGAAGUUGAUUUAUUAACAUAUAAAGGAAAUAUAUCUUCGUGUCAUAUUAGAAACUGAGAUCUGAAAAAUUAUUGCUGCAUGUUUAUUAACUUAAUUGAGAGAAUGUUGAGUGCAUGUUGUAUACUAGGUAUUCUUUUUUAUUUCUGUGUCUAUGCAUGUGUGUUGGAAACGUGUGUGAGUGUAAAUAAAGAUGGAUGUGUCUAUGCAUACAUGUGUAGAGGACUGAGGUCAUUGUCAGGUGUCAAACUUUUUUCCCUUCCUCUCACGGGACCUGGAACUUGUCAAUUCAGCUAUCCUGGCUGGCUAGCAAGCCCCUGACCUGCUUGUCAUUGCUUUCUAAGGCACAGGGAUUAUAGAUGUGUUGUCAACACUAGCUUUUUAAAAAUAGUCUAUUUUGCUUUUUUUUAUAUUAUAUGUGGAAUGGGGGGCAUGCACAUGUCAUGGUUCACGCGUGGAGGUUGGAGAACAACUGAUGGAUAUAGUCCUCUCCUUCCACAAUGAGGAUCAUGGAUAUCCAGCUCAGAUCAUCAGGCUAGAUGGCAGGUUCUGUUACCCACUCAACCAUCCUCACUGGUCCCCCAUGCCUAUAUUAAGGACAAAAUAGAAGAAGUGUCUCAAGGAGCCCAUAGCCUCUGGUCAAGGAGAUGUGUAUGCAUCAACAAAUAAUUAAAGUAUACUGUAGUGCUA
Peromyscus maniculatus bairdii (prairie deer mouse) is the source of this 2553-nucleotide non-coding RNA. The record is from RefSeq and is a predicted model, not a curated record. NCBI's taxonomy places the organism in Eukaryota, Metazoa, Chordata, Mammalia, Rodentia, Cricetidae.